AAACAUCGCCUCUUGCUUAAAUAUAAGAGGUCCCGCCUGCCCUGUGACAAAAUGUUUAACGGCCGCGGUACUUUGACCGUGUGAAGGUAGCGUAAUCACUUGUCUUUUAAAUGAAGACCUGUAUGAAUGGCAUAACGAAGGCUUAACUGUCUCAUUUUUCUAGUCAAUGAAAUUGAUCUUCUCGUGCAGAAGCGAGAAUAACAACAUAAGACAAAAAGACCCUGUGGAGCUUAAGACUCUAUUCUGUCUUCGGUUGGGGCGACCAUGGAGAAAACCUCAAGAAUGUUUAGAGCUACACCUCAAAGCUUUAGGACAUCUAAUCUUUCGACCCGGUCAGCCGAUUAAUGAAACAAGUUACCCCAGGGAUAACAGCGCUAUCCCCUUUAAAAGUCCUUAUUAACAAGGGGGUUUACGACCUCGAUGUUGGAUCAGGACAUCCUAAUGGCGCAGCCGCUAUUAAGGGUUCGUUUGUUCAACGAUUAAAGUCCUACGU
Molecule: ribosomal RNA, 493 nt
Rfam family: Bacterial large subunit ribosomal RNA